RNAcentral lists this ribosomal RNA (333 nucleotides) under uncultured bacterium. Its description in RNAcentral is "bacterial SSU rRNA". It matches the Rfam family "Bacterial small subunit ribosomal RNA", at positions 335 to 659 of the family's 1533-position model. The record is from RNAcentral.
ACUCCUACGGGAGGCAGCAGUGGGGAAUAUUGCACAAUGGGCGCAAGCCUGAUGCAGCCAUGCCGCGUGUGUGAAGAAGGCCUUCGGUUGUAAUGCANNCUUUCAUGUCGUGAGGAAGGUAGUGUAGUUAAUAGCUGCAUUAUUUGACGUUAGCGACAGAAGAAGCACCGGCUAACUCCGUGCCAGCAGCCGCGGUAAUACGGAGGGUGCGAGCGUUAAUCGGAAUUACUGGGCGUAAAGCGCAUGCAGGUGGUUUGUUAAGUCAGAUGUGAAAGCCGGGCGUCAACCUCGGAAUUGCAUUUGAAACUGGCAGACUAGAGUACUGUAGAGGGG